Molecule: unclassified non-coding RNA, 332 nt
Filed under: soil metagenome
Description: partial contains 5.8S ribosomal RNA, internal transcribed spacer 2, and large subunit ribosomal RNA
Rfam family: 5.8S ribosomal RNA (bases 1-120)
Source: RNAcentral
GAUGAAGAACGCAUCGAAAUGCGAUAAGUAAUGUGAAUUGCAGAAUUCAGUGAAUCAUCGAAUCUUUGAACGCACAUUGCGCCCGCCAGUAUUCUGGCGGGCAUGCCUGUCCGAGCGUCAUUUCAACCAUCAAGCCCCGGGCUUGUGUUGGGGACCUGCGUCCGACGCAGGCCCUGAAAACCAGUGGCGGGCUCGCUGUCCACACCGAGCGUAGUAACUAACCUCGCUAUGGAGUGGCGCGGGCGCCUGCCGUAAAACCCCCAAUUUCACAAGGUUGACCUCGGAUCAGGUAGGAAUACCCGCUGAACUUAAGCAUAUCAAUAAGCGGAGGA